GGGGAUGCCAAGUGGCCAAUCUUGAGAAAGAAGAACAAAGUAGGAGAACACACACUUCCCAAUUUCAAACAUUAUUACAGAGCUACAGUAAUUAAAAUGUAGUACUGCCAUCAGAAUAGACAUAUACAUCAAUGGGAAUCAAAUUGAGAGUACAGCAACAGUGCCGUACAGCUACAAGCAAUUGGUUUUCAGCAAUGGUGCCAAAACCGUUAUAUGUAGGGAAAAUUAGCCUUUCAACAAGUGGUACCGAUGCAACUGGACAUCCACAUGCAAAAGAAUGAAAUUGGACCUUUAGAUCAUUCCACGCACAAAAGUUCAUUCAAACUCAAUCAAAGACCUAACAUAAAGCUAAAACUAUAAACCUCUUGGAAAAAUGGGUGUAUUCUUCACAGUCAUGGAUUAUGCAAUGAUUUCAUAACUGUAACACCAAAAUCAUAAGCAGUGAAAUAAAAAAAUUAGCAAAUUCAGUUUCAUCAAAGUGUAAAACUUUUGUGCACUGGAGGACACCGUUAAUGAACUGAAAGACAAUCCACUGAACAGGAGAAAAAAUUUGGACUCAUACCUCAGAUAAGGAUCUAGUAUCCAGAAUGCAUGAAGAACUCAACAACAAAAAUACCAACAGCCCAAUUUAAAAAUGGGCAAAGGAUUUGAGUAGACGUUUCUUCAAAGAAGCUAUACAGAUAGUCAAUAAGUACAUGAGAAGAUGCCUAAUGUCAUCAGUCAUUAGGGAAAUGCAAAUCAAAGCCACAAUGAAAUAUCACUUCACCCACUAGGAUGGCUAGAAUUUAAAAGUCAAACUGGAAAAAUGUGGGUAAUGUGGGUACGUUGGAACCCAUUUGUACACUGCUCCUGGGAAUGUAAAGGAGUAAUUAGUACAAAUGCUGUGGGAAAAAAAAGGUGUGGCACUUGCUCAAAAAGUUAAAGUGUUACCAUAUGUGCUCCAGAAAUUUCACUCCUAGGUAUCUACCCAAGAGAAAUGAAAACCUAUGUUCACACAAAAGCUGGUGUUCACAGCACCAUUUUUCAUAAUAGCCCCAAAGUGGAAAUAAUGCAAAUGUCCAACUGAAAAAUGAAUCCAUACAAUGUGGAAGAGCAAUACAAGGAAUAUUCAUUCAUAAAAGGAGGAAAGUACUGACACGCCACAACAGGGAUGAACCUCAAAAACAUCAUGCCCAGUGACAGAGCCAGUCACCAAAGACCACGUAUUGUAUGAUUCCAUUUGGAUGAAAAGCCCAGCCUCGGAAAAUCUAUUGAGACAGAAAAUAGAUUCAUGGUUGCUUUUCUUUGGGGGUAUAGGGGAUUAGGGGUAAUAGCUAAGUAUUGUUAGGGUUUCUUUUUGAGUUGAUUAAAUGUUCUAUAAGUGUUCAUGCUGGAGUUCCCGUCGUGGCUCAGUGGUUAACGAACCCAACUAGGAACCAUGAAGUUGUGGGUUCGAUCCCUGGCCGUGCUCAGUGGGUUAAGGAUCUGGCAUUGCCGUGAGCUGUGGUGUAGGUUGCAGAAGUGGUUUGGAUCCUGCAGGGAGCCGAGAAAAUGCAGGGACUCAAAAAAAGGAACUUGCCUGAUAGCAGAAAAACCUGAAGGCAGGUUCUUAACCAAGAAAGGGAGCCCACCCAACGGUACAAGCCGAAGGUGGGCUUCUGGUCAGGAAAAAAGCUCACCUGAACGGUGCAUGCUGAAGGUGGGCCUCUGGUCAGGAUGAAAGCCUGCCUACACGGUACAAGCCAAGGGCAGGCCUCAGAUACACAGCUCUCACUUUGAUGUUGAUGGGGAAGAAUUGGGGCUUUCCUGGGAAAACAAUUUCCAUGUUUGCACUGGAGAACAUGGAUUGUUUCUCGGGUGACCUAAUCUUUCCUGUUGUUUUAUUUGUUAUUCAGUUUUUCUCAGUCUUUCCUGAUUAUUUACUUAUUAUUCUUAUUUCACACUCUUAUUGUUCUGUGGUGAUUUGUGACUUAACAAAAUUACAACAAUAGUAUAAUAAAAAUUUCAUCCUGAAGGACUUUUCCCCUAUUUGAAUCCAACUUAGUUAAAACAUAGUGUUUAUCUAUUAACUAGUUAUAUAGUAACUUUAGAGUUAGGAUUUUAAUGAGCCGACGUCCAUCCAUCUUCUUUGGGAAAAAACCUAGGCUCACUGGCCUCCGGCAGGAUCCCGUGUUGCUAUGGCUCUGGCGUAGGCCGGUGGCUACAGCUUCGAUGGGACCCCUAGCCUGGGAACCUUCAUAUGCUGCGGGAGUGGCCCUAGAAAAGGUAAAAAGACAAAAAUAAAUAAAUAAAAUAAAAUAAAAUUGUUCAUGCUAACGGAUACAAACUCUGUGACUAUACUAAAAGCCAUCGGAUUGUAUACUUUAAGUAGGUGAAUUAUAUGCUGUGUAAACUAUAUCUCAAUAAAGCUAUUUAAAAAGCAACGCCAUCAAGGAGGAACUCAGAAUGAUGCCAUUUGCUUUUUUUCUGUCCUUGGUCACUUGGCUGGGUCUUGGCUAUGACAGAUAGGAGAUUCUUUAAGAAACUCUGGGUAGCAGAAAGAAAAAAUGAUUUUUUUACCUGUUUUUCUUGGAGAACCAAAUAGCUUUCCUUGGGAAUGGGCCUUCGUCAUUCACUUGGGAUUCGGAGGAGAAACCAAAACUAGGCAAUGCUCUUUGUUGAGCAUUUAAGCGGGCAAGGAAGAACUGGGAAGAGAGGUGUUUCCAUGGAAAGGUGGAAGGCGAGGAUGCUCUUUGAGAGAAAUGACUGAGGGACUCCAGAAAAGAGAAGCCUCUGCUGAAUCACACUGUGAUAUGACUGUCCCUUACGGUUGCCCCUGAAUCAGCAGUAGGACUCUGCUGUCUUUUCUGUGUGGUAUUGAGGAGUAUGAAUUUUAAAAGUAGGGACUUGUUCCCCCUCCCCAACAUGAAUUGCUUCUGUGCUGGAAACAGUGGAGCCACUGCCAUGCCCAAAGCAAAAAAUGAGGACUGAGCAAAAAUCAGAACUGUCAGUGGUCCAGGGGUCGUAAGCCUCUAAGUGCACAGUAAUCGCCCUAAAGAGUGGAGCUGGGUGUUAGAAUACAUUGACUCUCUAUAUACAAGGACACUGGGUUCCAUAUGCCUGGAAGGCCAGAGUUUCUGAAAAUAACAUACGCUGUGGGGCUGAGCGCAUUCCUAGGUUACAGAACUUGGAAGGUGGUGGUGGGGAGCAGAAAAUGUGAACAACAGGAGAAAUAAGUGGAGUCAUUCAGACAGGAAGGAAGACUGUCCUCAGCAAUAGGAAUGUCACCAACAGUGGUCGGUGUUUCCUGCGCAAGACCGCGAGAGGUACAGUUUUACAGAGGCUUGCUGGCUGACACUGGAACCAAGACCAUGAAAACUGCGAUGCUGACACCAGGGGAUGCUGGUGAGAAGGCACAAGCAGGAGCUCUCCAAGAAAAAGCUUCAGACAGCAUGGCCUCCCCCAUGGCUCCUAGAUAUGCUUCAACAGCCUCUAAGUUGCCGUGGAGAUAAAUUCCCACCCACUGGACCCUGGGAAGAAGAUCCAGUCAUUGAGUUUCCUUCAGAGGUGAGCCAGGUGGCUUUGUAACUCUGCAAAAUAGAGAAUCAAGCCGAAGCUGAGACUUUCUAAGUGGGAAGAGACCAAAAUGGAAGGGCUAGAGGUACAACCGACGGAGCAUUCUGGUCCUGGUUCCUUGGAAGGAACCUUCAAGUUGACAGGGAUAGCAGCGGGGAGAUGGGUUGGGAGCAGUGGUCAGAACACAUCUGCCUGGAACCUGGUUUUCUACUUUGUACCUCGCGGGCCCUGAACUUCCCCGAGAGCGAGGGACCUGCCGUGGGAGGGGAUGUGGGCUAAUUCGUCAGGGGCAGGUAGAAGGAGGCACAUCAGCGCCCCUUGCACCUGCUUCUCGAGGCUGUUCUUUGGUCCCCACUGCCGGGGAGGUACCAGUUGGUUCCUUGUGCCUUUUGGAGCUCCCUGAAGUUGGGGAGUAGUUAGAAGAGGGAGACCUGUGCUUCCAGGCCUUCCACAAUCUCCCCAGGCCCAGGAGCACCAGCUCCCAAAGAGUGAACAGAAGACAGAGCCCGGUGGUCCCAAACAUGGUCCUUAGGAAGAUGGUCUUCUCAGAGGGGCGAGGCAGCGUACAGCUGAUACUGCCGAGGCACGGCUCCCGCCGGCAGGUGACAGAGCUGGGCAUCCUGAACCCGUACAGAUGGUACUGCCCCCCCAAGGCCGCCCCCUCCAGGGCCAGCCGCACCCCCAGCUGUGCCAGGUAGGCCCAGAGCAGCCAGGGGCUUGCAGCCCCCAAGGCAUCUCCCCUCUCCCCCGCUUGGCAGGUCAGGGUCUCCUCUUCCUUCUUCCCCUUUUCUGAUUCUUCCCAGCGCCAGAUCACGUGAUACAGAAGGAGCCCCAUGUAGAGGGCGCUGGGCACAGCCACCAGGGUGACCUGGAAGGCCCAGAAGCGCAGCGGGGAGAGAGGGUGGAAGGCAUCAUAGCAGGCAGCCUUGCAGCCCUGCUGCUGGGUGUGACACACGAAUUCGCUCUGCUCGUCGCCAUAGACCCCAGGCCCAGCGGCGACCAGCAGCACCAGGCGGAAUGCCAGGAGCACAGGCAGCAGGAGGCGCCCGACAGGGGUGGAGUACCGGCUCUCCUCCACCACCAGCCGCCUCAGGAACCUGCCACACAUCCUGCUGUGAGCAGAGCGCAGUGGUGAGGGUGGGCGAGCCGCCGUUGUCCUUUAGCAGCUCCGGGGCACCUCCUCACUCCUGAUCCAAGGAUGGGUAAGGCAGGCUUCCUUCCUCCUCUCCUAGGACCUGGUGGAUCAAACACCAAGAAUUUGUGCCUUUUUAUAGUUAAUGGAAUCAUCUAUGUAAAAUAUUCAUAGGACGUGGGCGUGGCCGUCUUACCUGUCCCCGCUCCUGCACUGCGGGAGUGGAGAGGAACUCCAGGCAUUUGGGUGGUGUUGGGGGCAUUCAGGGUCGGUCUUUGUCUGUCUCUUUCCCUCCCUCCCAAAGGCUAAAUAAUCAGAGACCAGAGUGCCCCCAAAACUGUUGUUCCUCCCGGUGAUGGCUGCCCAGUCUGGUGCUACGGUCAUUGUCACCUGAAGGAAAUCAGUGCUGACCUUGGCAGGGAUGUGUGUUCCUUGGUCUGCCUGCUCUUCUCUGGCUCCAGGCCCUCAGGCGCUCACAGGUGUGUCGGUCUGGCCUCUGCUUCCAUCGCAGAGGUGAGACCGAGAUGAGGUUGGGUUGGGGGGCCGGAUGGGGAUCCAGUGAGCAGAGUGAGUGUCAAGGCUUCUUCAGUCUUAUGUUCUUUAGACCUAACCAGCUUAGGAAAGGAGAAUGCCUGGGAGAAAAUCCUGCAGGAUCUACCCUAUGUCAUGUAACGGGGUGCGGGCCAAAGCCAGAGCUGAGUGGCUAGAAAUACAAAAUUGGACUCUGCUUUGUCCCUGCUCCCUGGGCAGUGUCCUCCCUUGUGUCCCCAUGGUCAAGGACAGGCUUCAGAAAUUCUUCACCCCUCUGGACAACGUGCCAGCAUGCUACAAGCCCAGUUACCAUCUCCAUCCCUGUGCUCAGCAGCCCUCCCCAGUGCCCAGCUGCUCUUUCCGGCCCUUCCUCCACAGCCCAGACUCUUCCAGGCUGCUUCCUCUCACCCUCAGAAGACCAGGCAAACCUCUCACUCCAGAGAAAAUAGAUUCUUCCAUAUAAAACCCUGCGUCUACUUCUUCUCUUCUUAGUCACUUCCUACUCUACAGCUUAGGGAAAGAAGCAUCUUUCCCCUUCUCCAAGGCCACACUCCCUUUCAAAUCUGUGUCCUGGGUUGCUCUUUCCAGCUUCUUCAGGCAUUUGACCCCCAAAUUACCUUGCCUGUCAUUCAGACCCUUCUUGUUUCCUCUCUGACCUUGAACUUGCUUAGGUUUCUUCCUGUUAAGUCGAAUAAUAAUAACUUGAAUUUCUAAGGUAACAUGACAGCUCAUUUAUCUUGUAUCAGUUUCCCAAUUUUAAUACCUGAGAGAUGCACAAAACAAUUUAAAAUGGGUAUUAGUGUUUGAUUUCUCUUGUGGUGCAGCAGGUUUAGGAUCUGGCCUUGUCACUGCAGCGGCUUGGGUCACUGCUAUUGUGCAGUUUCUAGCCCUGGCCCAGGAACUUUCACAGCACACAAACACAGCCAAAAAAAAAAAAAA
This 6136-nucleotide long non-coding RNA is filed under the name Sus scrofa (pig). RNAcentral describes it as "lncRNA (ENSSSCG00060043010.1)". Lineage: Eukaryota; Metazoa; Chordata; Mammalia; Artiodactyla; Suidae. The record is from RNAcentral.